GAUGAACGCUGGCGGCGUGCCUAAUACAUGCAAGUCGAGCGAACAGAUGAGGAGCUUGCUCCUCUGACGUUAGCGGCGGACGGGUGAGUAACACGUGGAUAACCUACCUAUAAGACUGGGAUAACUUCGGGAAACCGGAGCUAAUACCGGAUAAUAUAUUGAACCGCAUGGUUCAAUAGUGAAAGACGGUUUUGCUGUCACUUAUAGAUGGAUCCGCGCCACAUUAGCUAGUUGGUAAGGUAAUGGCUUACCAAGGCAACGAUGCGUAGCCGACCUGAGAGGGUGAUCGGCCACACUGGAACUGAGACACGGUCCAGACUCCUACGGGAGGCAGCAGUAGGGAAUCUUCCGCAAUGGGCGAAAGCCUGACGGAGCAACGCCGCGUGAGUGAUGAAGGUCUUCGGAUCGUAAAACUCUGUUAUUAGGGAAGAACAAAUGUGUAAGUAACUAUGCACGUCUUGACGGUACCUAAUCAGAAAGCCACGGCUAACUACGUG
RNAcentral lists this ribosomal RNA (497 nucleotides) under uncultured bacterium. Its description in RNAcentral is "partial 16S ribosomal RNA". It matches the Rfam family "Bacterial small subunit ribosomal RNA", at positions 28 to 507 of the family's 1533-position model. The record is from RNAcentral.